UACACACCGGUACUACAUGGCCGGUACACGGGAAGCGAAGGAGCGAUGGAGCCAAUCCUAGAGCCGGUCUCAGUUCGGAUUGCAGGCUGCAACUCGCCUGCAUGAAGUCGGAAUUGCUAGUAAUCGCGGAUCACAUGCCGCGGUGAAUACGUUCCCGGGUCUUGUCACACCGCCGUCACACCACGAGAGUUACAACACCCGAAGUCGGUGAGUAACCGUAAGGGGCCAGCCGCCGAAGUGGGGUAGAUGAUUGGGGUGAAGUCGUAACA
RNAcentral lists this ribosomal RNA (269 nucleotides) under uncultured Bacillus sp. Its description in RNAcentral is "partial 16S ribosomal RNA". It matches the Rfam family "Bacterial small subunit ribosomal RNA", at positions 1213 to 1493 of the family's 1533-position model. The record is from RNAcentral. Lineage: Bacteria; Bacillati; Bacillota; Bacilli; Caryophanales; Bacillaceae.